This 222-nucleotide long non-coding RNA is filed under the name Lathyrus oleraceus (garden pea). RNAcentral's name for it is "Pisum sativum (pea) long non-coding RNA (PSAT_LNC014729)". The record is from RNAcentral. Lineage: Eukaryota; Viridiplantae; Streptophyta; Magnoliopsida; Fabales; Fabaceae.
UUUGGUGAUUUGGUGUUUACUACUAAGGUUAAGAAUGUUGAAAUUUGUAUGGAUCUGAAACAAUUGGGAACCUGUAUGGAAAUCCCUUCUGAAGGUGAAGAAAUCCGUCACAGAAUUGAACCCGACACUGAUGCCUGGAGCAAUUAUAACAGUAUGGAAUAUUUUGUUUCAAUUUCUAGAGGCACUCAGGCUAGCCUCAUGAGCCGGUAGAAAUCAGAAUCC